AUUGAACGCUGGCGGCAGGCCUAACACAUGCAAGUCGAGCGGAUGAAGGGAGCUUGCUCCUGGAUUCAGCGGCGGACGGGUGAGUAAUGCCUAGGAAUCUGCCUGGUAGUGGGGGAUAACGUCCGGAAACGGACGCUAAUACCGCAUACGUCCUGAGGGAGAAAGUGGGGGAUCUUCGGACCUCACGCUAUCAGAUGAGCCUAGGUCGGAUUAGCUAGUUGGUGGGGUAAAGGCCUACCAAGGCGACGAUCCGUAACUGGUCUGAGAGGAUGAUCAGUCACACUGGAACUGAGACACGGUCCAGACUCCUACGGGAGGCAGCAGUGGGGAAUAUUGGACAAUGGGCGAAAGCCUGAUCCAGCCAUGCCGCGUGUGUGAAGAAGGUCUUCGGAUUGUAAAGCACUUUAAGUUGGGAGGAAGGGCAGUAAGUUAAUACCUUGCUGCUUUGACGUUACCAACAGAAUAAGCACCGGCUAACUUCGUG
This 484-nucleotide ribosomal RNA is filed under the name uncultured bacterium. RNAcentral describes it as "partial 16S ribosomal RNA". It matches the Rfam family "Bacterial small subunit ribosomal RNA", at positions 30 to 507 of the family's 1533-position model. The record is from RNAcentral.